Molecule: long non-coding RNA, 1783 nt
Filed under: Haliotis rubra (blacklip abalone)
Lineage: Eukaryota; Metazoa; Mollusca; Gastropoda; Lepetellida; Haliotidae
Description: uncharacterized LOC124258317
Source: RNAcentral
GUUACAGGCAGGUGUAAGACGAUCAAUGGGUGGUGGCCUACUUUCACAUUAGAUUCUAUAAACUGCGCUUUGUACUAAAACAGCAGAAGCGUGGCAAUUCAUAGCACAGCGCCGCCACUGGGUUGUGGUGACCCGGCAGAUAAUGCUGUGAGGUCAGUUUUUUCAACGACGACCAUCAUACAAAACGGCCACUCUCCACAAAGACUGCCUUGGACGUACUGGAUUGCAAGCAUCUCUCAAGACUCAACAAAGAAUGCCUCGGACCUACAAGGGCUUAAAAGGGUUUCCCAAGGAUAGGAAUAGCCGCUUCUAAGGAUAGACCAGAUAACAAUGGAGGAUUGUGCCCAUUGGAAUGUGGAGCUGAGGGUGUUUUCUUGCAUGUGCACAUGGAACCCGUGUCAACAACUCUCAGCUAUAUACUGAAUCUACCACUGAGACAACCCCUGUACUCGACAAGACCACAUUGCCAGUACACAAUGAACACAUCCAACCGAUCACGUUCUUCGGAGUGUAACAAAUUACGGAAGAAUUCUGAUCAAUAUUUGUAUGUUUGAUCAUUAACCUAAGACGCUUGUAGUUGUUCGUGAAGACUUUCCUACAGCUACCAGAAGGUUACAGCAGACAUCAACACGUGGCUGAGGAAAGAUAGCUUUGAAAUAAACGUUCUCAUCCCGACCACCGAAUUGCCAGGAGAGGAUGCAUUUUCAGGAGGUUGUACAGAAAUCCCUGAUCAAUUGGAGAAGAAGAUUCUGAAACAAACUGUCGUAGAUUCGCAAGAUGAACCGACGGAAAUGAUGGAGUCGAAUAAUCAGAAAAGCAAUGGGUAUUUAGGUGCGGACAGGACGUUUAAGAUCGAGGUUCGGACAGUAAUAGAUUCGGAAAAAGGUUUGGAAAAGUCAAAAGAAGCUUCAAUUGAAACGGAGAACAAACACGACUUCCAACUUACAACACCACAACACUCUGGCGUCCGGCGUCGCGGACCUGUAAUUCCUGGAUAUGGGUCGCACCUGAUAAAGCUUGCUGUUACUUUACUUUAUGCGUUUAUAGUACUUUACCUUCUGUCUAUCUCCUAUGACAGACACCAGUGUUGUUACUACGCCAGACAUGAGUUCAGCCACGGUAUUGCCCGGGGCUUUAUGAAGUGUGGUUAUGUCAUGAUGGAGUCUGUUUUAAAAGAACUUUCAUACCGACUUGCAUAUCAGUUUGGAUUGCAUUGACAUGUCAUAUGUACUCAAUUGCAUACAUCGAUGCUCAUGCUGUUGGUUACUGGAUUGUUUAGUCCAGACUCGAUUUUUUUAUUCACUAUGGAAAUCUCACCUGUUACAAAUGUUUAUUCAUUUGCAAGCGACAAACAGGCGAUGUUUUUGACGGAAUCAAACGUACAGCUUGUCAUUGUCGUUCGGAUUUCUCUCGUGUUUAUCUUUUCGAUUUUGAAUGAUUAGUACAAUUUAUUUCUGACGUGGCCUUUUAUGAAAUAUCCUCUUAUCUUUUUGUAACCAUUAAAGAUUUGAUACCUUAUUUCAUGUCUGCAACUAUUAAUGUUUAAACUGUUAUUUUAUCACCGUUACCAACUGAGAACAAACAUAUUCCCCAGUGAGGACUGAACCAUAUAUUCCCGCAAUGAACCGCAAUCAUCCUUUGUUCAUUUCUGCGGCAUUCUUGGAAUUUCUUAAGCACGCAUCCUCCGACAGACAAGGAAAGUCCAUACUUCUCACCAUGUCUUAUCAGCAAACAGAUGCUUUAUCGGAAAUAUGUUUGAGUAUAUUAAAAGAUAAUAUUCGUC